Molecule: ribosomal RNA, 1550 nt
Filed under: Triticum aestivum (bread wheat)
Lineage: Eukaryota; Viridiplantae; Streptophyta; Magnoliopsida; Poales; Poaceae
Description: partial small subunit ribosomal RNA
Source: RNAcentral
GCGGCGGCAAACGUGCUCCUAGUAGUGUGCGGCCUCACGGCGGUCCGCCUUGUCUCAGAAGAAUCGACAUGGACUGUAUAAGCAUCGAUGCCUACCGUCGUUGACAGUGGGGCGGCUUGCAGCAAAGGAUGGUGUCUACAGAACAAGCCCCCGGCGAGUGCCCUGACCGAGAGGGAGCGCCACGCUGUGCAAAGGGAAGAAGGCCGAGCGGCAAUUAUACUAUGAAAAACUAAAACGUUUAGAAACAACCGGCUGAUCACAGCGCGGGCGUCGAUCACUUCAAACUUGUAGAACAAGCGUAAGACGAACAAAGACCGGAUCUACCACUCGAGUUUCAAGACAUAGACACAUAGUGGAGCACUCGGGAGUGCUACACAAAUACACAAUACAACUUCCCAGUGCUGAAAAAUCAGCAGCAAAAGUUGACAUGACAAAAACACCAGCUCGCCACAAACAGGAAUACAGCAGCCUCCACAACAAGAGCACUAGUAUAUUUCUUUUCAACGAAGCAACAGAGCACUAGUAUAGAUAGUAUUGGUCGUAGAAAUGCAAGACGGCGAAUUUCCACGAACGAGAGCCAAGCCCACGGGAAGGGAUGCACGCACAGUUUACACACUCCAUUACAAUCCUCCCAUGGAGGAGGAAGAAGAAGACAUUUGCCAAAGAUGUAUAGUUGCCCUACACGGCCUGACACCCGCCUAGCUAGCUAGCUACCUCCGCCGCCGCGCACCGCCGUCGCCGCCGGUGAAGCAGCUGGGAAGUAAGACGCCGACAGUGGCUACCGUCAGAGGCCAUUGUUGGGGGGUAUAUACCUGGGAGGAGCUCCUCCCAGGCGAGGGAGUCCUCCAUGGGAGACGCCGGGCAAGGCUUCAUAUAUAGAACCGCACAAGCGCACGAGGCUUCCAUCGGCGAGUGGAAGCUCCGGUGGCCCGGUGACCUAAGUGAGGGGGCAUCUUCCCUGGCAUAUUCCUGAGCAUAUGAGAACUUCUGCUUUUCUCGCCCCCGUGCUUUGCUCCGCUUUGGAGUAUUCAAAGGUAUAUUCUGUGCUUUCUCGCGUGGCUUUGGAGCCCUCUGUGAUUGUGGAAUAAUUUGGGCGAUUGCGAGCGAUCUCUGUACGUGUUUUGGAGUGGCUUGACGCAGCAUGGGCUGGAAAGGUUGUUUGUUUGGUGCGUGGUCGCCUAGAUCAAAUCUUGCGUGGACCUACUGAACAGCUGACAACACUAUGGCUGCCUUUGCAUUGUCUGCCCCUACCUGUAGUAUCCUCCUGAUGAUGAUGUUUUUGAGGUACAAAUCUCACCGGGCAAGUAAAUCGUAUUAUCUCCAAAAUAUGCUCAUGUUGUCUUUGAUUAAGGCCCCCGUUCGGAUCCCCUCCUGUUCCCAGCUUCAUCGGCUCCGCUCGUGGAACUGGCCCGAACACAGCAGCUCCGAGAAGCCCCCGCUUCCCGGAGCAAACAACCCUCACAGUGCAAAAAUAAGAAGCUGGUCAGACCCGUUCUCAAAAACCGAAGGAGGCGGAGUUAGACACUAUUACCUGAAACCGCCAAAGCGCC